Molecule: ribosomal RNA, 496 nt
Filed under: uncultured bacterium
Lineage: Bacteria
Description: partial 16S ribosomal RNA
Rfam family: Bacterial small subunit ribosomal RNA
Source: RNAcentral
ACUCAAAGGAAUUGACGGGGGCCCGCACAAGUGGUGGAGCAUGUGGUUUAAUUCGACGCUACGCGAAGAACCUUACCUGGGCUUGACAUGGACAGGAAUGUACCAGAGAUGGUGCAGCCUUCGGGUCUGUUCACAGGUGCUGCAUGGCUGUCGUCAGCUCGUGCCGUGAGGUGUUGGGUUAAGUCCCGCAACGAGCGCAACCCUUACUUUUAGUUGCCAUCGGGUAAUGCCGGGCACUCUAGAGGGACUGCCAGCACAAGCUGGAGGAAGGUGGGGAUGACGUCAAGUCAGCAUGGCCCUUACGUCCAGGGCUACACACGUGCUACAAUGGCCGGUACAGAGGGCAGCCAACCCGCGAGGGGGAGCGAAUCUCAGAAAGCCGGUCUCAGUUCGGAUUGCAGGCUGCAACUCGCCUGCAUGAAGCCGGAAUCACUAGUAACCGCAGAUCAGCUACGCUGCGGUGAAUACGUUCCCGGGCCUUGUACACACCGCCCGU